GGCGCUAUGGUGUAGUGGCAGCACAUGGGAUUCUGAUAGUUACUAUCUUCCCAUAACCCAGGUUCGAACCCUGGUAGUGCCU
This is a non-coding RNA of Armillaria mellea, 82 nucleotides long. NCBI's taxonomy places the organism in Eukaryota, Fungi, Basidiomycota, Agaricomycetes, Agaricales, Physalacriaceae. The record is from the annotation of a GenBank genome assembly.